GCAAGUCGAGGGGUAACAGGUAGCUUGCUAUGCUGACGACCGGCGAACGGGUGCGUAACGCAUAUAGAAUCUGCCUUGUACAGGAGGAUAGCCUUUAGAAAUGAAGAUUAACACUCCAUAAUGUAGGGUUUCGGCAUCGAAACCUUAUUAAACAUUUAUGGGUACAAGAUGACUAUGCGUCCUAUGAGCUAGUUGGUAAGGUAACGGCGUACCAAGGCGACGAUAGGUAGGGGGUCUGAGAGGAUUAUC
RNAcentral lists this ribosomal RNA (249 nucleotides) under uncultured bacterium. RNAcentral describes it as "partial 16S ribosomal RNA". It matches the Rfam family "Bacterial small subunit ribosomal RNA", at positions 57 to 305 of the family's 1533-position model. The record is from RNAcentral.